UCCCAACUAAAAAGACUCCAUUCAAUCUAGCCUUCAAGAAUAAAGCGGUGAUCCCGAUCAAGAUUAGGCUACAAAUGACUAGAGUUGAACACUUUGAUGAACAAAGUAAUCCAGAUCAUCUCCAUAUCGACCUCAACUUAUUAGAAGAAAUAAAAGAGCGAGCUCAGAUUAGAAUGACAUCAUACCAACAGCAUGUAUCCUGCUACUGCAACACAUAGAUGAAGUCAAAGAUAUGCCAAUCGAGUGACCUCAUAUUGUGAUGAGUUGAAGUGUCAAAGCUAACUGAAAAAAGCAAGUUAUCCUCGAAUUAGGAGGGACCCUAUCGAAUCA
This 330-nucleotide long non-coding RNA is filed under the name Elaeis guineensis (African oil palm). RNAcentral's name for it is "long non-coding RNA (EGUI_LNC053404)". The record is from RNAcentral. Lineage: Eukaryota; Viridiplantae; Streptophyta; Magnoliopsida; Arecales; Arecaceae.